Molecule: ribosomal RNA, 1964 nt
Filed under: human gut metagenome
Description: bacterial LSU rRNA
Rfam family: Bacterial large subunit ribosomal RNA
Source: RNAcentral
UAAAGCAAGAAAGGGCGUAUGGGGAAUGCCUAGGCACACUCCGGCGAAGAAGGACGCAGCAAACAGCGAAAUGCGACGGUGAGCGGUAAGCACGUGAAGAGCCGUCGAUAUCCGAAUGGGGGAACCCACACGGAGUCAUAUCCGUGUAUCACAUGUCGAAUACAUAGACAUGAUGAGGCGAGACGCAGGGAACUGAAACAUCUAAGUACCUGCAGGAAGAGAAAAUAAGAAUGAUUUUCUGAGUAGCGGCGAGCGAAAGGGAAAGAGCCCAAACCGAUCUGAGGAUCGGGGUAGUAGGAUCAUCGAUAAAUCAAACAGAGGAUCAUAGAGGAAUCACAUGGGAAGGUGAGCGAGAGAGGGUGAGAGCCCCGUACUCGAAAUGAGAGACUGGAGAGAGAUGACACCUGAGUAGGGCGGGACACGAGAAAUCCUGUCUGAAUCAGCCGGGACCAUCCGGCAAGGCUAAAUACGAGAGAGUGACCGAUAGUGAACCAGUACCGUGAGGGAAAGGUGAAAAGAACCCCGGGAGGGGAGUGAAAGAGAACCUGAAACCAUAUGCCUACAAGAAGUCAGAGCCCGUUAAAGGGUGAUGGCGUGCCUUUUGUAGAAUGAACCGGCGAGUUACUGUAUGGAGCGAGGUUAAGCAGGAUAUGCGGAGCCGAAGCGAAAGCGAGUCUUAAGAGGGCGCGAGUUGCAUGCAGUAGACCCGAAACCGGGUGAUCUAGCCAUGACCAGGUUGAAGUUGGGGUAAAACCCGAUGGAGGACCGAACCGACCCCCGUUGAAACGUUGGCGGAUGAGUUGUGGCUAGGGGUGAAAUUCCAAUCGAACCCGGAGAUAGCUGGUUCUCCCCGAAAUAGCUUUAGGGCUAGCGUCGAGAGAAGAGUUGCGUGAAGGUAGAGCACUGAAUAUGUGAUGGCCCCAUCUCGGGGUACUGAGCAUAAUCAAACUGCGAAUGUCACGCCAACAUGCUCGGCAGUCAGACAGCGGGUGAUAAGGUCCGUUGUCAAGAGGGAAACAGCCCAGACCAUCAGCUAAGGUCCCAAAAUGUAUGCUAAGUGGAAAAGGAUGUGGAGAUGUACAGACAACUAGGAGGUUGGCUCAGAAGCAGCCAUCCUUUAAAGAGUGCGUAACAGCUCACUAGUCGAAUGACUCUGCGCCGAUAAUUUACCGGGGCUAAGCAUACUACCGAAGCUAUGGAUCCCAAGGGAUGGUAGGGGAGCGUUCCAUGAACGGAGAAGUACGACCGAAAGGACGUGUGGAGAUCAUGGAAGAGAGAAUGCCGGUGUGAGUAGCGGAACGUGGGUGAGAAUCCCACGCACCGAAAACCCAAGGUUUCCAGAGGAAGGUUCGUCCGCUCUGGGUAAGUCGGGACCUAAGGCGAGGCCGAAAGGCGUAGUCGAUGGACAACAGGUAGAGAUUCCUGUACCCGUAUAUAUGUGAAGGAAUGACGGAGAGAGGAAGCUGCAGCCAGCGGCUGGAAGAGCUGGUGCAAGCGAGAUAUCGGGAUGGCAGGCAAAUCCACCAUCCGAAACGAGAAGGCGUGAAGCGUACGGAAAGCUACGGCGAGUACGGAAGGCAGUGGAGGAACUUCCAAGAAAAGUUUCUAACGUUAAGUAUAUAUGGCCCGUACCGAAAAUGGACACACAUGGGUGAGGAGAGAAUCCUAAGGUGAGCGAGAGAACUAUAGCUAAGGAACUCUGCAAAAUGACUCCGUAACUUAGGGAGAAGGAGUGCUCAUAGAGAUAUGAGCCGCAGUGAAACGGCCCAAGCGACUGUUUACCAAAAACACAGCUCUCUGCUAAGCCGCAAGGCGAAGUAUAGGGGGUGACGCCUGCCCGGUGCUGGAAGGUUAAGGGGAGGGGUUAACGCAAGUGAAGCCCUGAACUGAAGCCCCAGUAAACGGCGGCCGUAACUAUAACGGUCCUAAGGUAGCGAAAUUCCUUGUCAGGUAAGUUCUGACCC